GGUAGUGGGUUUAGGUUCUAGUCUUGGCACAAAAUAAGGUAGGGAUUUAGAAUAAAAUAAAUUAAAAGAGGUCGAGAAAAAUUCUAAUUCUAGGAAAACUAAUAAUUUUUUCAAGUUUAAGCAAACCAAAAUCCUGGGGUUACGCGAGUCCUAGCAUGCGUCAAAAUUUACAAAGUAAAAACAACGCGGGCUCUACUCAUGUGUUUAUCAUGAGAAACAAGUUAGGCUAAUCAUCAUGAUCAAGAUGAAAAGUCUGAUAGGAUCUAGAUAUUUGGUUCUGGUUUUCCAAGAAAAAACAAAUAAAACUUGGGAUGGCUCACAUUAUUGGUUUAUGAAAAAGAGAAUAAUAGAAAACGAACGAGCG
This 364-nucleotide long non-coding RNA is filed under the name Setaria viridis. RNAcentral describes it as "long non-coding RNA (SVIR_LNC010455)". Lineage: Eukaryota; Viridiplantae; Streptophyta; Magnoliopsida; Poales; Poaceae. The record is from RNAcentral.